This is a non-coding RNA of Pelobates cultripes (western spadefoot toad), 224 nucleotides long. Lineage: Eukaryota; Metazoa; Chordata; Amphibia; Anura; Pelobatidae. The record is from the annotation of a GenBank genome assembly.
CCUGUGACUGCUAAGGGAGGAGCUACCCCAUAAGUGAUGCUGGCAUGAUUAGCUAGGAAACUCCAUUAACCACAUGGCAGCAAAAAGACUGUAAAAGACAUAAAAUUACACACUGUUACAUUCAGUACAUAAAACAUACACAUUCUACAUAUCCCCAGAUAGCUUAGAUCUGAGCGCACAUUAUUAUCGAAUGGCGCUCAGAUCACAUACAUACAGUUCAAUCG